CACAUACUCCCUCCGUCCCAUAUUAAGUGACUCAAAUUUGUCCAAAUAUGUAUGUACCUAUGCCUAAAAAGCGUCUAGAUACAUGUAAUAGAAAGUCACUUAAUAUGGGACGGAGGGAGUAGUUG
Non-coding RNA from Brachypodium distachyon (stiff brome), 125 nucleotides. The record is from Rfam. Lineage: Eukaryota; Viridiplantae; Streptophyta; Magnoliopsida; Poales; Poaceae.